GUGCUCACUUCAGCAGCAUAUAUACGAAAAUUGGAAUGAUACAGAGAAGAUUAGCAUGGCACCCAUGCAAGGUUAAUACUAGUCAUAGGCAAUAGAACAAUCCAAAU
Molecule: small nuclear RNA, 107 nt
Organism: Sorex fumeus (smoky shrew)
Lineage: Eukaryota; Metazoa; Chordata; Mammalia; Eulipotyphla; Soricidae
Source: RefSeq, a predicted model, not a curated record